Molecule: ribosomal RNA, 480 nt
Filed under: uncultured bacterium
Lineage: Bacteria
Description: bacterial SSU rRNA
Rfam family: Bacterial small subunit ribosomal RNA
Source: RNAcentral
UUGAACGCUGGCGGCAUGCUUUACACAUGCAAGUCGAACGGUAACAGGUCUUCGGAUGCUGACGAGUGGCGAACGGGUGAGUAAUGCAUCGGAACGUGCCCAGUCGUGGGGGAUAACGCAGCGAAAGCUGUGCUAAUACCGCAUACGAUCUAUGGAUGAAAGCGGGGGAUCGCAAGACCUCGCGCGAUUGGAGCGGCCGAUGUCAGAUUAGCUAGUUGGUGGGGUAAAGGCCUACCAAGGCGACGAUCUGUAGCUGGUCUGAGGGGACGACCAGCCACACUGGGACUGAGACACGGCCCAGACUCCUACGGGAGGCAGCAGUGGGGAAUUUUGGACAAUGGGGGCAACCCUGAUCCAGCCAUUCCGCGUGAGUGAAGAAGGCCUUCGGGUUGUAAAGCUCUUUCAGCAGGAACGAAACGGCGAGCUCUAACAUAGCUCGUUAAUGACGGUACCUGAAGAAGAAGCACCGGCUAACUACGU